AGUUCCCAUAUUCUUCCAAAAUGCAAAGCCGUUUCAUCAAAGCAGAAACGUAUCCGGUAAGUGGAUUUCUUAAAACAGGUCGCGCUUGUAUCGUCACUUCCUCUGACGUCAGCACUGACGUCUUCUUACUUUUAAUCGCCCAUAACAGAAUUUUUACGAAAAUUUACUAUUCUAGCCGCGCCUAUUAUUAUUAUUAGUAUAAUCAAAAUCAUCAUAAACAUUCCAACAUUUAAUCUUAAACCAGUUUUUGUAAAGUGAAUUUCCUUGAGUUCAAUUAUCUUUGCAAUAGUUUAUCUAAGAAAAUAUUUUUCUUCGCCCCCUUAUCUGAAACAGAUGGAACCGCAAACAGAUAAGUUUGCAAACUGUUUGCGACGGAACCGCAAACUUAUAAUCGAUCCUUCGACGCUGACGUCAUUGCAUCGAAAGAUUGCGUCAUUCCGAUUCGGAUACCAAAUCUCAAUCGGCUUUCAAUCUGUAAUCACGUUUUAUGUCCAGGAAGUCGAAUUUUAUCGUUCGAGACUUAGCUAUCCUUCAAUAUUAAAUAUGUUCGACAUAUUUUGCAUUAUUUCUAAAUUUGAUUUUUAGGCUGAUAUCCUUAAGCAUGAUGCGAAAUAGUCCAAAUUUGUCAUCGUUAGUUUUAGCACCGAGGUUUACAUUCAAUGUAAACAGAUUUCGACCAGUAAACAAAUUUAUUUUGAUCACUCCCAAUCUAUACAAUGACGACGAAGGGCGAUGACUCGUUGUUAAAUAUAUUAAAGUGUUGUACCGAAAAUUUAACAAGCUCCAGAAGGCAGAGUUUAGUGUUUGUUACCCAUCGAACUCGAAUGCAAAAAUGUCGAUUGUUUCUAAACGUUCGUUUGUAUGCCUGUGAUGAUAAAUAGUUAAUUCGAUUGAUUGGUUCACAUCGAAACGAAAAACAAAAAAAAAAAAAAAAAAAAACUUGGCGAUUUAACGUUACUUUCAAUAUCAAAAUCGCACAUAU
Molecule: long non-coding RNA, 982 nt
Filed under: Androctonus crassicauda
Lineage: Eukaryota; Metazoa; Arthropoda; Arachnida; Scorpiones; Buthidae
Source: RNAcentral